This 1053-nucleotide ribosomal RNA is filed under the name uncultured bacterium. Its description in RNAcentral is "bacterial SSU rRNA". It matches the Rfam family "Bacterial small subunit ribosomal RNA", at positions 331 to 1399 of the family's 1533-position model. The record is from RNAcentral.
CCAAACUCCUACGGGAGGCAGCAGUGGGGAAUAUUGCACAAUGGGGGAAACCCUGACCCAGCAACGCCGCGUGAGGGAUGACGGUUUUCGGAUUGUAAACCUCUGUCCUCUGUGAAGAUAGUGACGGUAGCAGAGGAGGCCGCUCCGGCUGUCUUCGUGCCCGCCGCCGCGGUUUUUCGUNGGGGGCUCGCGUUGUCCGGCUUUUCUGGGUGUUUGNGGUGCGUGGGCGGCUUGGCUNGUCUGNUGUGGUNUCCCUGGGCUUNUCCCUUGGCCUGCUUUUGNUNCUGUUUGUCUUGNGUGCCGUNGNGGUAGGCGGGAAUUCCCCGGUGUGGCGGGGAAAAUGGGUAGAGAUCGGGUGGAGCCCCUGUGGCGAAGGCGGCCUACUGGGCUUUAACUGACGGUGAGGCAGGAAAGUGGGGGUAGCAACCAGGAUUAGAUACCCUGGUAGUCCACACUGUAAACGAUGAUUACUAGGUGUGGGGGGUCUAACCCCCUCCGUGCCGGAGUUAACACAAUAAGUAAUCCACCUGGGGAGUACGACCGCAAGGUUGAAACUCAAAGGAAUUGACGGGGGCCCGCACAAGCAGUGGAGUAUGUGGUUUAAUUCGACGCAACGCGAAGAACCUUACCAAGUCUUGACAUCCCUCUGACCGGAACUUAAUCGUUCCUUUCCUUCGGGACAGAGGAGACAGGUGGUGCAUGGUUGUCGUCAGCUCGUGUCGUGAGAUGUUGGGUUAAGUCCCGCAACGAGCGCAACCCCUAUCCUCAGUAGCCAGCAUUUAAGGUGGGCACUCUGGGGAGACUGCCAGGGAUAACCUGGAGGAAGGCGGGGAUGACGUCAAAUCAUCAUGCCCCUUAUGAUUUGGGCUACACACGUGCUACAAUGGCGUAAACAAAGGGAAGCGAGAUUGUGAGAUGGAGCAAAUCCCAAAAAUAACGUCCCAGUUCGGACUGUAGUCUGCAACCCGACUACACGAAGCUGGAAUCGCUAGUAAUCGCGGAUCAGAAUGCCGCGGUGAAUACGUUCCCGGGUCUUGUACUCACCGCCCGUCA